Molecule: long non-coding RNA, 1647 nt
Filed under: Androctonus crassicauda
Lineage: Eukaryota; Metazoa; Arthropoda; Arachnida; Scorpiones; Buthidae
Source: RNAcentral
GUUAACUCUCUACGAAUUCCCCGAAGUAUUCUUUACUUAUUUAUACUUUUUUUUUGUUUUUUUAUGUGAAAAAAUGAUUAUUUUUUUCCUGGAAACGGUAUUUUCGCUUACGAAAAUAGUUAAUUAAAACUGAUAAAUUUAAUUUUGCAAAACUGUUGCAUAUAUAUAUGUUGAUUCCAUUUGCGCAUGUACUGGGAUGAUAACUCCGGUGAUGGAUUUAAGCCAAUUGUUUAAAUUCCUUACUCUAAUUGGCUUGUUUGGGCUAUCUGAUCUUUCAUUCAUUACAUUAUUUUUUUUUUAUUUUAAUUAUUUUUAACCGAAAAAUUCUAUUUAUAUGCAUAAUUAGAGGCUCAUAUUCGAGAUUUGAAUGUGCUGCUGCUGCUAUAAGUUCGAAUGCCUUACUGCUAGGGGUUCGAAGGUGUUGCUGCUAGGGAUUUGAAAAUGCUGCUGAUGGAAGUCGAAAAUGCUGCUGUUAAGAAUGGAAGGUGACGCUGCUAGAGGUUUGAAGGUGUUGAUGUUAGGAGUAGAAGUGACGUUACUAGGGGGUUUGAAAAUGCUGCUAUUAGGAGUGGAAGAUGACGCUGCUAGAGGUUUGAAGGUGUUGAUGUUAGGAGUAGAAGUGACGUUACUAGGGGGUUUGAAAAUGCUGCUAUUAGGAGUGGAAGAUGACGCUGUUAGAGUUUGAAGGUGCUGCUGUUAAGAAUUGAAGGUAACCUGCUUAGAGGUUUGAAGGUGCUGCUGUUAGGAAUUAGUGACAUUGCUAGGGUUUGCAGGUGCUGUUAGGAGUAGAAGUGACGCUGCUAGGGGGGUUUGAAAAUGCUGCUGUUAAGAAAUGAAGGUAGCGCUGCUUGGAGGUUUGAAGGUGCUGCUGUUAGGAAUUAGUGACACUGCUAGGGUUUGCAGAUGCUGUUUAAGAGUUGAAAAGUGAUGCUGUUAGGGGUUUGAACGUGCUGCUGUUAAGAGUUGAAGGUACCGCUACUAAGGGUUCAAAGUUGCUGUUUUUCGGGCGUUCGAUUGUGAUCCUGUUAAUGAGUUCGAAUGUAACUUUAUAUGGGGGAGUCUAAUGUGCUACUGUCAGGGAGUUUAAAUGGUUACUGUUAGAGGUUCCAUCAUGCUGCCGAUUUACUCAGAUACACUUCGAUUCCUCGAUUACUCGCUUUACCGCUAAAUAUUUUUAAUUAUUCCCGUGCAGCAUUAAUACUAGUGUUUAAACAAGCAGUUUUAACUUCGUUACUAGAUACCAAUAUUGAACAUAUGUAUUUACUUAUUCUAUAUGCAUACAAUUUUUAUCUUUGUCUUACCAAAUGCAACAUUUAAUCGCCGUAUCCCGAAGGAACAUAUCGUCAUUAUCUAUAAUGAAACACCGAGGAGGAAGAACGGCGCAGUUUAGUUAAAAUUAAAACGAGCUGUAAUAAUAAUCAAGUAUGCACAGAUAGCUUCAGACAAUCCUUGAACAAUUUGACCUUCUUGCACACAGACAUUAAUAAGCUUCCAGUAAAAAUUAACAUAUGAGAAAUGUGUGCACAUACCCUUUGAACACGAAGAUAUCUACCUGAAUCUUAAAUUAUAUCUAGGCAUCCGUGAUUGCGAUCUGUUUAUUUUAUUGUCGAGUUGAAGAUCAUGUUUUGACCUUCUAAACAAAAGUCA